This 396-nucleotide ribosomal RNA is filed under the name uncultured bacterium. Its description in RNAcentral is "bacterial SSU rRNA". It matches the Rfam family "Bacterial small subunit ribosomal RNA", at positions 358 to 770 of the family's 1533-position model. The record is from RNAcentral.
GGAAUUUUGCGCAAUGGGCGAACAGCCUGACGCAGCAACGCCGCGUGGGUGAAGAAGGCCUUUGGGUCGUAAAGCCCUUUUCUGAGGGAAGACAAUGACGGUACCUCAGGAAUAAGCACCGGCUAACUCCGUGCCAGCAGCCGCGGUAAUACGGAGGGUGCAAGCGUUGUUCGGAUUUACUGGGCGUAAAGGGCGUGUAGGCGGAUGUGCAAGCUGGGGGUGAAAGGCCAGGGCUUAACCCGGGACGGUCUCCCAGAACUGCACAUCUAGAGAGAGUCAGAGGCAGGUGGAAUUCCUGGUGUAGAGGUGAAAUUCGUAGAGAUCAGGAGGAACACCGGCGGCGAAGGCGGCCUGCUGGGACUCAUCUGACGCUGAGGCGCGAAAGCGUGGGGAGCA